CGGCCGAAGCGGCGAAGGCGGCAGCGGCGGCGACAGCUCUGGGGUUCGCGUCUCGGGGUGUGUCGGCCGCCGCUGCUGCUCAGGCCUGGAAUGUACAGAUGGCUGACUAAGGUUCUCGGCACCAUUCUUCGCUUGUGUGAGCGGCCCGCGCCCGGGGCCCGCGCCCUGCUCAAGAGGCGGCGCUCCAGCAGCUCUCUGUUUUCUACUGCAGUGGACACUGAUGAAAUCCCAGCUAAAAGACCAAGACUAGAUUGCUUCAUUCACCAAGUGAAGAACAGUCUCUACAAUGCGGCCAGCUUAUUUGGAUUCCCAUUCCAGCUGACCACCAAACCCAUGGUGUCUUCUGCUUGUAAUGGAACACGGAAUGUGGCCCCUUCAGGAGAGUUUUACAUUGAAAUCAGAAGGCUAUAAUAGAAGACCAAGUGGCCGUCGCCAUAGCAAAAGCAAUCCAGAGAGUUCCUUACCGUGGAAACCUCAGGAGCAAGGUGUAACAGAGAUGAUUUCUGAAGAGGGUGGCAAGGGUGCGAGGCGUCCCCAUUGCACCGUGGAGGAGGGUGUCCAAAAGGACGAAAGAGAAAAAUACCUAAAGUUAUUGGAGCGUCUUAAAGAGGGUGCUCACGGAAGCACUUUUCCUCCUGCAGUUUCACAUCAUAGUUCUCAGAGAACGCAGAUGGACACAUUAAAGACCAAAGGCUGGAUGGAAGAACAGAAUCAUGGAGUCAGAACAACCCAUUUGGUUCCCAAACAGUAUAGAGUUGUUGAAACAAGAGGACCUCUCUGUUCAGUGAGAAGUGAAAAGAGGAAGGCUGACCCUGUUAAACAUUGCCUAGUCUCCAGGCCCUUGGAAAUCAGGUAUUCAAAAGGAAAAGCUGACACAGAGAAGGUGGUGGGACUCCGAUUUGAAAAGGAC
RNAcentral lists this long non-coding RNA (910 nucleotides) under Rattus norvegicus (Norway rat). RNAcentral describes it as "long non-coding RNA NONRATT007140". Lineage: Eukaryota; Metazoa; Chordata; Mammalia; Rodentia; Muridae. The record is from RNAcentral.